CUACGACCAUACCACCGGGAAAGCACCGGUUCUCGUCUGAUCACCGAAGUUAAGCCCGGUCGGGCGAGGUUAGUACUUGGAUGGGUGACCGCCUGGGAAUACCUCGUGUUGUAG
This 114-nucleotide ribosomal RNA is filed under the name Streptococcus pyogenes. The record is from RNAcentral. Lineage: Bacteria; Bacillati; Bacillota; Bacilli; Lactobacillales; Streptococcaceae.